Molecule: ribosomal RNA, 1004 nt
Filed under: uncultured euryarchaeote
Lineage: Archaea; Methanobacteriati; Methanobacteriota
Description: bacterial SSU rRNA
Rfam family: Archaeal small subunit ribosomal RNA
Source: RNAcentral
GAGGUUACUGCUAUCGGUGUUCGCCUAAGCCAUGCGAGUCAUAUGUAGCAACACAUGGCGUACUGCUCAGUAACACGUGGAUAACCUGCCCUUGGGACCGGCAUAACCCCGGGAAACUGGGGAUAAUUCCGGAUAACGCAUAUUUGCUGGAAUGCUUUAUGCGUCAAAAGGAUUCGUCUGCCCAAGGAUGGGUCUGCGGCCUAUCAGGUAGUAGUGGGUGUAAUGUACCUACUAGCCAGCGACGGGUACGGGUUGUGAGAGCAAGAGCCCGGAGAUGGAUUCUGAGACAUGAAUCCAGGCCCUACGGGGCGCAGCAGGCGCGAAAACUUUACAAUGCGGGAAACCGUGAUAAGGGGACACCGAGUGCCAGCAUCAUAUGCUGGCUGUCCGGAUGUGUAAAAUACAUCCGUUAGCAAGGGCCGGGCAAGACCGGUGCCAGCCGCCGCGGUAACACCGGCGGCCCGAGUGGUGAUCGUGAUUAUUGGGUCUAAAGGGUCCGUAGCCGGUUUGGUCAGUCCUCCGGGAAAUCNGAUAGCUCAACUAUUAGGCUUUCGGGGGAUACUGCCAGACUUGGAACCGGGAGAGGUAAGAGGUACUACAGGGGUAGGAGUGAAAUCUUGUAAUCCCUGUGGGACCACCUGUGGCGAAGGCGUCUUACCAGAACGGGUUCGACGGUGAGGGACGAAAGCUGGGGGCACGAACCGGAUUAGAUACCCGGGUAGUCCCAGCCGUAAACGAUGCUCGCUAGGUGUCAGGCAUGGCGCGACCGUGUCUGGUGCCGCAGGGAAGCCGUGAAGCGAGCCACCUGGGAAGUACGGCCGCAAGGCUGAAACUUAAAGGAAUUGGCGGGGGAGCACAACAACGGGUGGAGCCUGCGGUUUAAUUGGACUCAACGCCGGACAACUCACCGGGGGCGACAGCAAUAUGUAGGCCAAGCUGAAGACUUUGCCUGAAUCGCUGAGAGGAGGUGCAUGGCCGUCGCCAGUUCGUACUGUGAAGCAUCC